RNAcentral lists this long non-coding RNA (1232 nucleotides) under Eucalyptus grandis. RNAcentral's name for it is "long non-coding RNA (EGRA_LNC001618)". Lineage: Eukaryota; Viridiplantae; Streptophyta; Magnoliopsida; Myrtales; Myrtaceae. The record is from RNAcentral.
UAAAUUUAUCAAGUACGUAUUAGUUUGAGAUUUUUCUUAAUUAAAAAUAUAAUUUGUGGUACUAGCUUGAAGAUUUUCAGGAUAUUAGCUUUUAAAAAAAUAAAAUAAAAGUAGAGUAUUUUUUCCAGAUAAAAUUAAAAAAAAAAAUCGAGGCAAAAUCUGUAAGAUCCAAUCAAUCGAAGACAUCGUGAGAAUCCGGAUGCUCCUUCGGCGAGGCUUUCUCUCGUGUACUUCCAGCGCGGUUGCGUCAGAAACCGCCUGAAAACUUGAUUCGAACCUCUGACGAGAAUCCCUCCUCCGGAUCUGAGGGGGAUGGAUUCUAGCGAUUUCGCAGGAAAUAUCAAGCCGCGGUCGGUCACCUUGUGCGUUUGCUGUUGAGUUUGCCAAGCUCGAUAGCAACCUGAAUUUGUGCUCCACCGUCGCUGCUCGACAGGGCUUCAGCAACAAAUUCCUCCAUCCCUCUCUCUCUCAAUCUAGCGGCCAUGGACGGGAGUUUAAAGCUCGGGCCACCAUGACCAUGAGCUCGAAGCUCAAGUGGCCAUUGCCACGACCUUGAGGCCGAGCUCGAACCUCGAGUGGCCAAAACUACCCCAAGUCCUGGGUUCGAGGUCGUGCUCCAUGGCCAAAGUGGCCAUGAGCCUUGAGCUCGAACUCGAGCCAUGGCAGACGCAGGGGGAAGAAAAGAGAAGUAGAGAGGAAGAGAGAGAGAGAGAGAGAGUCACGGUCAGUAAACAGAGGGGCGGAGAGAGAGAGAGCAACGAUGAGAGAGAGUGGAGGCAUUAAUUGACAAGUGGGAAAAGAUAAGUAGAGAGGAGCAGAGGGAAAGAGUCGUCAAUAAUGGGGGAGAUGGGGGCGUCGGAAGGUCUGAUGUGAUGGGAUCCGGGCAACACAUGUCGCACAACGAUAAAUGGACUCGUAAUAUUUUCUCCGGCCCUUUGAGGCUUUUUCUCGUGUACUUCCAACGUGGUUGCGUCAGAAACUGCCGGAAAGCUUGAUUCGGACCUCUGACGAGAAUCCCUCCUCCGGAUCUGCCGUCGUUUCAAGAAGGGUGAAAGUUCGAAGCUGCCCCGCGAUACGGUCGAUGCUUUCCAGAAAGAAAGCAACGAUCAGAUCCGCUCCAACCGUAGUUCGAUGCUGUGGCUCUGUCGGGAACCGUGAUGUCUCCGUUCUCGAACCGGGGUGCGAUUGUCUGCGAUUUGUAUCUGAUGUCUCCGUCCUCUUGUAAUCAUCGC